UAUAAUUGUAAUUUUAUUUUUAAUUAUUAAAAGUUAUGGUCUUAAAAAUUAAGAAAUUUGGCGGUAUUUUAUUCAGUUUAGAGGAACCUGUUCUGUAAUUGAUAAUCCACGAUUAGAAUUACUUGUUUUAGAAAUUUGUAUAUCGUUGUUUAAGAAUUUCUUUUUUAGGAAAAUUUUCUUUUACUUUAAUAUUAGUUUAUUUCAGAUCAAGGCACAGUUUAUAAAUAAGGAGAAAUGGGUUACAAUAAAUUUUUAUUUGGUUAUUAAAUUUUAAAUUUUAAUAUAAAUUGGAUUUAAUAGUAAUUAUAAUUACAUAUUUAUAAUGAUUUUUUUUCUAAAAUAUGC
Molecule: ribosomal RNA, 345 nt
Filed under: Lucidota atra (black firefly)
Lineage: Eukaryota; Metazoa; Arthropoda; Insecta; Coleoptera; Lampyridae
Description: partial 12S ribosomal RNA
Source: RNAcentral